RNAcentral lists this ribosomal RNA (578 nucleotides) under Reticularia splendens. Its description in RNAcentral is "bacterial SSU rRNA". It matches the Rfam family "Eukaryotic small subunit ribosomal RNA", at positions 87 to 557 of the family's 1831-position model. Lineage: Eukaryota; Evosea; Eumycetozoa; Liceales; Reticulariaceae. The record is from RNAcentral.
CUGCGAACGGCUCCGUACAACUGUUAUAAGCCUAACGUGGGGUGAAGAACGGAUAAGCGGCGGUAAACCUGCACCUAAAACGUAAAUUCCCCACGGGAGAGCUUUCUCUCCCGGGGGGACCUGCUCCACAGUAAGCUACAGCUUGGCGGCGUAGCGAACACGAGGGACUCCAGCCAUCCAGCACCGCAGCCCGGGUCGACCCCCUCGCGGGUCUUCCCUCCGUCCGCCCGGGGCAUCAGCCCUGGGCGGGCAGCUGCCCAGCGGGGAAACGGCUGGAGCAUCACCAAAGGUAAUGUAAGGCGCCUAGGCGCAGACCGCAGGGCACGAUGGGUUUCAGGCCUAUCAGCUUGCUGGUAGGGUAUUGGCCUACCAGGGCUGCAACGGGUACAGAGGAUUAGGGUUUGAUCCUGGAGAGGUGGCCCGAGAAAUUGCCACCACUGCUACGGCAGGCAGCAGGCGCGCAACGUUCCCAAUGUUUUUACAUGAGGACGUGAAGGGGCGUAACAACGCCUCGCCUACGGCGAGGCGAUUGAAAUGGGGCGGGCUUAAACAACCCGCCGAGUAGCAAUUGGAGGACA